AACCAACAGGGAUUGCCUUAGUAACGGCGAGUGAAGCGGCAAUAGCUCAAAUUUGAAAGCUGGCCCCUUCGGGGUCCGCGUUGUAAUUUGUAGAGGAUGAUUCGGCGAGGGCUCCCGUCUAAGUCCCUUGGAACAGGGCGUCAUAGAGGGUGAGAAUCCCGUAUGUGAUGGGCUGCCUUAGCCAUGUGAAUCUCCUUCGACGAGUCGAGUUGUUUGGGAAUGCAGCUCUAAAUGGGAGGUAAAUUUCUUCUAAAGCUAAAUACCGGCCAGAGACCGAUAGCGCACAAGUAGAGUGAUCGAAAGAUGAAAAGCACUUUGGAAAGAGAGUUAAAAAGUACGUGAAAUUGUUGAAAGGGAAGCGCUUGCAGCCAGACUUGUCCGCAGUUGCUCAGCUUGUCUCCUGACAGGCGUACUCUUCUGCGGCCAGGCCAGCAUCAGUUCGGGCGGUCGGAUAAAGACCUAGGGAAUGUAGCUCCUCUCGGGGAGUGUUAUAGCCCUGGGUGCAAUGCGGCCAGCCUGGACUGAGGAUCUCGCUUCGGCUAGGAUGCUGGCGUAAUGGCUGUAAGCGGCCCGUCUUGAAACACGGACCAAGGAGUCUAACAUCUAUGCGAGUGUUUGGGUGUCAAACCCAUGCGCGUAAUGAAAGUGAACGGAGGUGGGAACCCUCACGGGUGCACCAUCGACCGAUCCUGAUGUCUUCGGAUGGAUUUGAGUAAGAGCAUAGCUGUUGGGACCCGAAAGAUGGUGAACUAUGCCUGAAUAGGGUGAAGCCAGAGGAAACUCUGGUGGAGGCUCGCAGCGGUUCUGACGUGCAAAUCGAUCGUCAAAUUUGGGUAUAGGGGCGAAAGACUAAUCGAACCAUCU
Molecule: ribosomal RNA, 864 nt
Filed under: Neofusicoccum parvum
Lineage: Eukaryota; Fungi; Ascomycota; Dothideomycetes; Botryosphaeriales; Botryosphaeriaceae
Description: partial large subunit ribosomal RNA
Rfam family: Eukaryotic large subunit ribosomal RNA
Source: RNAcentral